RNAcentral lists this ribosomal RNA (253 nucleotides) under uncultured bacterium. RNAcentral's name for it is "partial 16S ribosomal RNA". It matches the Rfam family "Bacterial small subunit ribosomal RNA", at positions 524 to 776 of the family's 1533-position model. The record is from RNAcentral.
UACGUAGGGUGCGAGCGUUGUCCGGAAUUAUUGGGCGUAAAGGGCUCGUAGGCGGUUUGUCGCGUCGGGAGUGAAAACACCGGGCUUAACUCGGUGCUUGCUUUCGAUACGGGCAGACUUGAGGCAUGCAGGGGAGAACGGAAUUCCUGGUGUAGCGGUGAAAUGCGUAGAUAUCGGGAGGAACACCUGUGGCGAAGGCGGUGGUCUGGGCCGGCACUGACGCUGAGGAGCGAAAGCGUGGGUAGCAAACAGG